Molecule: small nucleolar RNA, 88 nt
Organism: Anolis carolinensis (green anole)
Lineage: Eukaryota; Metazoa; Chordata; Lepidosauria; Squamata; Anolidae
Source: Ensembl
GCAUUCAAUGAUGAUUCAUUUCUGAAGUUUGCCUGAUUUCAUCUUUGAAAAGUGAAGGCAACUCUAGUCACUACCUCUUCUGAGAUGC